Molecule: ribosomal RNA, 397 nt
Filed under: uncultured Glomeromycotina
Lineage: Eukaryota; Fungi; Glomeromycota
Description: SSU rRNA
Rfam family: Eukaryotic small subunit ribosomal RNA
Source: RNAcentral
AGCAGCCGCGGUAAUUCCAGCUCCAAUAGCGUAUAUUAAAGUUGUUGCAGUUAAAAAGCUCGUAGUUGAAUUUCGGGACUAAUAUGUCGGUCGUGCCUCGGUACGCACUGGCUUAUUGGUUUCUCCUUUCUGAAGAACCAUGAUGUCAUUUAUUUGGUGUCGUGGGGAAUCAGGACUGUUACUUUGAAAAAAUUGAGUGUUUAAAGCAGGCUCACGCUUGAAUACAUUAGCAUGGAAUAAUGAAAUAGGACGUUUGAUUCUAUUUUGUUGGUUUCUAGGAUCGACGUAAUGAUUAAUAGGGAUAGUUGGGGGCAUUAGUAUUCAAUUGUCAGAGGUGAAAUUCUUGGAUUUAUUGAAGACUAACUACUGCGAAAGCAUUUGCCAAGGAUGUUUUCAU